UACGUAGGGUGCAAGCGUUGUCCGGAAUUAUUGGGCGUAAAGAGCUCGUAGGCGGUUUGUCGCGUCUGCUGUGAAAAUCCAGGGCUUAACCCUGGACCUGCAGUGGGUACGGGCAGACUAGAGUGCGGUAGGGGGAGAUCGGAAUUCCUGGUGUAGCGGUGAAAUGCGCAGAUAUCAGGAGGAACACCGGUGGCGAAGGCGGAUCUCUGGGCCGUAACUGACGCUGAGGAGCGAAAGCAUGGGGAGCGAACAGG
This 254-nucleotide ribosomal RNA is filed under the name uncultured bacterium. RNAcentral describes it as "partial 16S ribosomal RNA". It matches the Rfam family "Bacterial small subunit ribosomal RNA", at positions 524 to 776 of the family's 1533-position model. The record is from RNAcentral.